This 229-nucleotide ribosomal RNA is filed under the name uncultured bacterium. RNAcentral describes it as "partial 16S ribosomal RNA". It matches the Rfam family "Bacterial small subunit ribosomal RNA", at positions 99 to 334 of the family's 1533-position model. The record is from RNAcentral.
CGGACGGGUGAGUAAUGUCUGGGAAACUGCCUGAUGGAGGGGGAUAACUACUGGAAACGGUAGCUAAUACCGCAUAACGUCGCAAGACCAAAGAGGGGGACCUUCGGGCCUCUUGCCAUCGGAUGUGCCCAGAUGGGAUUAGCUAGUAGGUGGGGUAACGGCUCACCUAGGCGACAUCCCUAGCUGGCUGAGAGGAUGCCAGCCACACUGGAACUGAGACACGGUCCAG